GAUGAACGCUGGCGGCGUGCCUAAUACAUGCAAGUCGAGCGAACAGACGAGGAGCUUGCUCCUCUGAUGUUAGCGGCGGACGGGUGAGUAACACGUGGAUAACCUACCUAUAAGACUGGGAUAACUUCGGGAAACCGUAGCUAAUACCGGAUAAUAUAUUGAACCGCAUGGUUCAAAAGUGAAAGACGGUCUUGCUGUCACUUAUAGAUGGAUCCGCGCUGCAUUAGCUAGUUGGUAAGGUAACGGCUUACCAAGGCAACGAUGCAUAGCCGACCUGAGAGGGUGAUCGGCCACACUGGAACUGAGACACGGUCCAGACUCCUACGGGAGGCAGCAGUAGGGAAUCUUCCGCAAUGGGCGAAAGCCUGACGGAGCAACGCCGCGUGAGUGAUGAAGGUCUUCGGAUCGUAAAACUCUGUUAUUAGGGAAGAACAUAUGUGUAAGUAACUGUGCACAUCUUGACGGUACCUAAUCAGAAAGCCACGGCUAACUACGUG
Molecule: ribosomal RNA, 497 nt
Filed under: uncultured bacterium
Lineage: Bacteria
Description: partial 16S ribosomal RNA
Rfam family: Bacterial small subunit ribosomal RNA
Source: RNAcentral